Non-coding RNA from Pelobates cultripes (western spadefoot toad), 951 nucleotides. Lineage: Eukaryota; Metazoa; Chordata; Amphibia; Anura; Pelobatidae. The record is from the annotation of a GenBank genome assembly.
GUUCCCGGCUCGCCGCUGAACAGGUAAGCUCAGUGAGUUGGUGCGGUUGUGCCGGUCGGGCAUGGACGCACAUGGCGACGAGCCGGGGGCCGUGACAGAAAUAUAAUAAACUCUACUUACCUAACACAUGCAUGUCUACCUACAGCUUGCCCUGGACAUUGACAGAGAGGCUGACGACCACAACAAGUACCUGGAUGGAAUGGUGAGACUAAGCCGAGUAAUACAUGUCCAUUCUCUCAUGUAUUUGGCAUUAUUCUAGGGAUGGAAUUCUAUAGAUUAGAAAACAUACGGGUUUCUAGGUGUGUUUGAUCUCUAGCUGCUCUUAUCCUCUGCAAGAUAUAGAGCAUGGCAAAUGGUAGUUCUUCAGCUGUUUGUAACUACAACUCCCAUGAUUCUUUGUAAACCAGCUGUAUUUCUAUAACAAACCGGCUACAACUAAUAUGACCUGUGGUAAUCACAAUGUUUCUCUUUGUUCUGUAGGAUUCUGAUUUCAUGAGUGUGACCGGUCUUCUUAGUGGCACUGUGAAACGUUUCACAGGGAUGACUCGUUCAGGACGUGAUAAUCGCAAGAUAUUAUGUUAUAUUUCAGUCGGACUUGUUGGAUUGUUCCUUCUUUCUUUUUUUUGUUGUUGGAUUCGUCUUCGUUUCUCGUGAUUGUGUAUUUCUGGCUUUGACUUGUUUUUCACAUUUCUUGUAGUUUUUUCUAUAUUCCGGCCAUUCUAAAGAACUGGUUUAGGGAUUUUCUAUUUGUCUCUGUUUCUACUGGUGGGUUUUCACACUGCAGGUGUUGGGUUAAUCGUUUCAAUGAGACUGUAGGAUGUUUAGGAUAAUGGACCUUCCUUAGUUACUGGAGGGACUGACAUAUUAGAUCACCUCCUCCAAGCGCAGCCAAGGAGAAAGCAAAACAGAGUAACUCAGGUCGAUGGUGGUUCCCCCAACCAGACCCCUGCU